RNAcentral lists this ribosomal RNA (522 nucleotides) under uncultured bacterium. Its description in RNAcentral is "bacterial SSU rRNA". It matches the Rfam family "Bacterial small subunit ribosomal RNA", at positions 24 to 518 of the family's 1533-position model. The record is from RNAcentral.
UCAGGACGAACGCUGGCGGCGUGCCUAAUACAUGCAAGUCGAACGGUCUUUCUAUGGAAGCUUGCUUCCACUGGGAAGAUAGUGGCGGACGGGUGAGUAACACGUGGGUAACCUGCCCAUAAGAGGGGGGAUAACAUCCGGAAACGGGUGCUAAUACCGCAUAGUUUUCUUGAUCGCAUGAUUGAGAAAGGAAAGACGGCCUUUGUGCUGUCGCUUAUGGAUGGACCCGCGGCGUAUUAGUUAGUUGGUGAGGUAACGGCUCACCAAGACGAUGAUACGUAGCCGACCUGAGAGGGUGAUCGGCCACAUUGGGACUGAGACACGGCCCAAACUCCUACGGGAGGCAGCAGUAGGGAAUCUUCCGCAAUGGACGAAAGUCUGACGGAGCAACGCCGCGUGAGUGAAAGAAGGUUUUCGGAUCGUAAAACUCUGUUGUCAGAGAAGAACAAGUCGGAGAGUAACUGCUCCGGCCUUGACGGUAUCUGACCAGAAAGCCACGGCUAACUACGUGCCAGCCGCCGC